ACUGCUUUUCUAUCAGUUGCACAAUCUCCUCAUGUCUGAGACUUGCUUAUUAAGCAGGAGCUUUGAAAGGAAACCAAUCAGUCUCGGUGACUUCAAUCCGUUGCUUGUCUUAGUUAAAAUAAUGCUGGAAAGAAGGAUCAUGAGCUAGAUAACAGCAGAUUGAGGAGAGGAGUUUACUGUACUGUAGGCACAGCGUGGAAAUACAGUUACACGAUGGCCGCCUGAUAAAGAUAGAAGAGCCCUUUAGAACCAAGGUAAGAAAUAUACUUUCUGUGGUUCUGCUUUAAUGCAUGCAAUUGGGACAAGGUGCUGGCAACUAUGAAACUCCAACUGCAUGAAAGUUUCAGUCACAAACUGUUUCAAUAGUGCAUAUCCACGGAUAGUUAUUAUGUCUGUAAGGGUAAACAUGAGGUCAAUUUGUCAUUUCAAUAUUAAUAAAAAAAAAAAAAUAUAUAUAUAUAUAUAUAUAUAUAUAUAUAUUAUUUUUUUUCUUUUUUUUUUUCUUAUAGCUAACCUUUAAGAUGCAUUGAUUGCUAUGGUACUUUAAUUUAAUUUUUUUUAAAUCAUUUUCAAAUGAUGUAGUUGAUAUGAAAUGUAUUAAAAUGCCAGUUGUAAGAUGUUUAGUCAGGUGUGUUAAAAUCACUUUUGAAUUUCAAAAUAUUCAGGUACAGGUACAUGCAGGCUACUGCAAGCGAUGCACAUAUUUAUUAUUAUUGCCAUUACUGGUAUUUAUAAAGUGCCAACAUAUUCCGCUGCGCUGUACUUACAUUUGUUUUCACUGAUACUGAACAAAUAAGCUCUAUUUUAUUAAGUGAAUACUUGUGAGAUGCUAUAGGACAGUGAUGGUUAACUUCUGACAGGCCAUUUGUUUUAGUGCAUUGCAUUCGUCAAGAUGGUCAUCUAUUUGUUUGGGAGGCUAAGGAUCACAUGGGUCAUAAGUCCACAACAGUUAAUAUUAUCAACGUUUAUCAGUGCUAUGAAUUAUAAGCAGUAUCUGCAGACUCUACAGAUGAAUUUGAUGAGAGUCAUGUAUCCCUUAAAGGGAUCUUAUAGUGCCAGGAAAACAAACCCGUUUUCCUUGCACUAUAGGCUCUUGGAGUGCCCCCCCUCCCUCUGUGCCAAAGGGGUUAGAAACCCCUUCAGCCACUUACCUGAAUCCAGCCCCAUUGUCCCUCGGCGCUGGGUCAGGCCUAAUGUUAAUGUGCGGCAAUGGCCGUGUGCGCAUUAGACCUCCCCAUAGGAAGGCAUUCAAUGCUUUUCUAUGGAGAAAAUCUGAUGCUGGAGGUCUGUGGACAUCUAGCGUCAGAUAACGGACCAAAAGUCAUUUUGGAUUCCAGAAGCCCUCUCAUGGCUGUCUGAUAGACAGCCACAGAGGGCAGACUUAGAGCUGCAAUGUGAACAUUGCAGUUCUAUGGAACUGCAAUGUUUUACAUUGCAGCACUAAGUGCAAAAGGGUCACAGCACCCAAUGAGCUGACGUGGUCUGGGUGCCUACAGUGUCCCUUUAGUUUUAUUCUAGAUCUAGAAGAUGUCUAACCUCUCCCUAGGGUCAGAUAGCUGCUCAGUUCAAUUGUAUAAAGAAUCAAAGUCAGCAAAAUACAGAGACUUAAACAGCUUUAUCAUUCCAGAAACCUAAACAGGCUAUUGAUAGUGCAAGUCUCAAAGAUUAUUUAAUGAAAAGCAGCUGUGAGUAAAUGAAUAUUGUGUGAGAUUGGUAGGCACAGUCUUUACUAAAAAUAAUAACACCGUAAUAAAGCAAGAGUUCAUUAGCUGUAUCCUUUGUAAAGAGCACAUCAAGCAAUAAAUAUAGAGAUACUGCACACAUUUGCUUACAGUAGAUCAAAGCAUAUAAAAUUGCUAAUAGUGUAACUGAAAGGGGGGUGUGUGUGUGUGUGUGUGUGUGUGUGUGUGUGUGUGUAUAUAUAUAUAUAUAUAUAUAUAUAUAUAUACGUAUAUCUUUCAUGUGGUUCCAUGUAAUGCUACCACAGUACCUUACAGAGGAGAACUCUAUCUCUCUAUCUUAGUGUGAUGUGAAUUAGAGCAAGUAUCAAGUGACAAAAAAAAGACUAUGGACAAAAUCAAUACCUCAAAGAAAAUAUAAUCAAUUAGGCUAAAGAUGUGUAUACAUUAAGACAUGCAUUAGUACCGCCUAAAAUACCUCAUGGAUGGUAUACAUACUACCCAGGAGGGGUGAGAAAAAUCAUGUGUAUAUACACAAAAAUAAAGUCAGCAAAUAUUAUAUUGAUAUUUAUUUUUAUGUCCUUGAUUUUGAUAAUAUAUAAUGGGUGAUUAUUUUUGUUACUUUAUAAUACUUGAUUAUAACUUAUCAACAAGCCGAUAACUGUAUUUCUUUAAUUUUAAAUAAUUGAAUUCUGAGCAGUCAUUCCAAUCAACUAUUUCAUUUUAACCAAUGCUGAUGGUUCUUAUUCCUUUGUACAUAUUUGCUAAAUCAAGACUUGCAAUUGGAAUUAUAAAGUUGAGCUUACAACAUUUGAUUGAGAUUGUGCUUUAUGCAAGUAUAUUCUAAACAGAUCCACACAGGACAUCAACAAUUAUUGUUGUUGUUGUUGUUUUUUUUUUUUAUCUAAGUUAUAAAAAACAACAACUUGAAUCUAUAAAAUUGUAUAUAUCUCCCAACAGUUUUCAGUCUACACUAAUGGACUAAUGCUGGUUCUUAAUUACUUACCAUUUAUUGUUGAUGGAUAAAUCUCAAAUCAUGUUAUCAUUGAUUUCUGAAAUAAAGCUUUGAAACUAAUUAAUUGUACAGUUUCUAUUUAAUUAUACAGACUGAUACUUUAAAAUUGGUUUGUUGUGUUAUACAUAUUUAUAUUACUUUCAACUUUUACAUCUUUAAUGACAUAUUCACGUUUCUGUAUAUCAAAUUUGACAAACUUAUUUGCUACAAAAUCACCUUUCACUAUAUCACUAAAAAAAUAAUAAUUAGUAACGAUAUUCAGAGUGAUCAAAAUAGUGCAGUAUUUUGCAUAUGCUAAAGAUGCGUAAAUCUCAUUUUUGCCAUAUCAUUUGCUUUUUUCCAUAAAUCUUAUUCACCUAGUUUUUAUUCACAUGGCAGUUGCAUUCCCAUCUUGCCAUAUUGUUGAGUUUUCCCUUUUUACCUUCCCAUUUGAAAAAAGUCAGCCUACAUUAAUUGGUGUCAAAUCAAUAGUUCAACACUUCCCCAGUGCAAGUAAAACACUUAUAUAUGUAAAAGAAAGGUAAAUUACUAGUGGAUGAAGAGUUACAAGAUUCCUCAAAGUUCCUUGUUAUAAAAUAUACGGUAAAUCUACAUCAAUAUAAAAAACAAGAAACCAAAAAUAGUGCAAUAUGUUUAAACCACUUGAAUUAAAAUCAAGUCAAGGUUAAACUCACAAAUUCAAAUAUGGAAAAAGGAUCAUCAGGUUAAAAUUUUGGCCUCCAGUCAAUGGUGCCGUCAAGGCAAGCCUCAAAAAGUGAGUCCUACACUAGCCACUAGAUUUGCUGAUAUCAGCCAAGAAGAAACACGUGUAUAAAUCGGUCCUUCAGCGAGUUUCUUAGUAAAGCGUUUAGUAAAAGUUUUACACAAUUUCUAUCAUAUACCUGACACUAUGUAGUACACAUAUAACAAUAUUCAUAGAUAAAACUUCUCUAAUCUUGAAAAUAAAGCUCUUAAGGUUAACCAAUAGAUAGGCACUAAUGGUGACUUAUUUUGUAAUGCAUAAAAUAUUAAUCUAACUGCACCAUAAGUAAAAAUGUAUAUGGUGUAGCAUAAAAAUGAGCUAAACAAUAUACUAAUAUAUAACAUUUUGGGGGAAUGACAUUUGGAUUAAAGGGACACUAUAGGACCCAGACCUAAUGUGAAUGCAGCACCUGCCAUGCAUGUGCAUUAUGUCUGCUCUCCAGAUGAUGUUGGAGGGGGCAGAGCACACAUGGGUGAGUAAAAUAAAGGAGUUUUAACCCUUUAUGUGCUAUGGGGUGGAGUAGGAAGGGUGCAAGGGAGAGGGGGACCAGAGUGCACUAUAGUGUUAGGAAUACAACUUUCUAUUUAUAGCACUAUGGAUUUCCUUUAAUAAUGCACUCAGACUGACACUGAAUUUUAGUGUGAAGUUUAGUGUUUUAAAUAUUCUUUAAAUCUUCCUAGAAACAAUGUUUAGUUUUCAGAUUACUUUGCAGUGCAAUAAUGGAGUUUUUAAAGGACAAAAGUGGUAAAUGUAGAGCAAAUCUGAAAAUACAUUUGGUUUCUAUGACAAUUGUUCCAUUUUUAGAAAUGUGCACCAGCAUUGCUCAUUACAAAUAACUUAAGUUACAAAUGACAUAUGUUGACAGCUCUGUUCCUCUCCCUUUACUAACAUGCUUGGCUAGGGCCUAAGCACAGACAGAGAAACGCAGUGUCCCACUCUUCCUGCAACUUGCAUAUUCAUAAUGAGAAAAAAUGGCAAAUUAUAAAUGUGACUCAAGAAUGGCGCUUCUAUCAUUCUCUGGCAGCACAGGUUAUUUAUGUCUAUGGUGUUCAACUGAAAUUAUUGUCCAUUCUGAAUUAAAUUUUUGUGUACAAUAUGCUACAGCUAUGAGUGAUAAAUUAUAUGUAAUGCAUGUUAUUUGAAGUCAAAAGUGUACAUUAAGAAAGAAAUAGUCAGACCUCUAUAGCUCAGUUGUUGGGGAAACAUUUCAUGCAUAGAACUAAAUCCGUCUGCUGAACUACAUGUCCCAUACACCAUUUCUUUGAAGCGAUUUUUGGGACAUGCAAGAACAUGGGAGAACCAUAAUUGUCUGAAUAUUCUUUCAAAGUGUUCUGUUCUAAAAAGUAAUCUAAAAUACUUUGGAAAUCAAUUGGACCAAUUGGCACAGUCCAUUGAUGACGCCUUCCUUUUCACAUGUUUGAACCAUUUUUAGAACAAAACACUUUGAUAAAUCUUUUCAGGCUGACAAUUUAGCAAACAGAAAUAAAAAUGCAGUAUGGCACUUUGCAAUUAAAUAAAUACUGAUUUCUAGUAAAUUUGAAAUUCUAAUUGCAAAACGUAGUCCAUAACACAGGGCUGGAUGUCUUAUUAGGCAAAGUAGGCACAAGCCUACAGAAACAUGUCUGAUGGGGUCAUCUACUCUGCCUCUUACUGGUGUCUGCUGUUUUCUGACUGGAACAAUGCUGCUGCAUUCUGGGUUCGCUGUUUUCAGAUGACUGAUCUGUGCAUGGUCCAGGCCCCUCCAACCAAACAUAAUUUUUGAAAGUGAAGAGAAAUGGCCAGGAGAAGAAACAGGUCUGGGACCAGAGAUUACAGGUACACACACUACUACACAUACUGCUACCUAGACUGUACAUAUAUAUAUAUAUAUAUAAAUAUAUAUAUAUAUAUAUAUAUAGCUACAAGUACUACUCUCCACACUACAACACAAACACUUUACUCAUAUUGUUGAAAACACUGAUAUAAACAUAUUGCUACACACACUCUCCACACAUGUUACUGCACACAAUGCUGCACAUACUACUACUACCCACACUUAAACACACUUAAACACACACACACACAUUUGCUGUGCACAUGCACAUUACUAGACUUGCUACUUCCCACACUACUCACACACACGGAGCACAUGCACUCUACAGUAACCCACACAAACACAGACAUGCACAAACAUGUAAACAUGCACUCCAUCAUUUACAUACAAACUACUUUACAUACACACGCAAUACACAUAUACAUGUGCAUAGAUACACACAUGCGCAUACACAAAUCUUAUUAUAUUUAACAUAUUUAAGGUGGCUCCCCUGAAGAGCCUCUUUACUGGUGAAACGUGCAUCGGGGGUCAUCCAUGCCUGUGGCCAUAUUUAUUAUAGAUUUCAGAAAAGUUUCACAGAUAAGAGAAAUCACACUUCUUUGUGUAUUAUCUGGAGUCCAGGUAUAGCUAGAUCAAACUAAUACUACUUUACCUGAUAGACUGUUAGCUUUUUGUUUGUAUUACAAGCACAGGAGCCCUCAAAGGCAUAGCAUAGAAUCUGUACUUAGCAAUAUUAUAUUUUCAACUUUUUUGUUUCUUUUUCUGUUAUUCACUAAUAUCUAGUCACACUUUAUCUUACUGUCUGGUGUUGUACUAUAGUUGUAUUAUCACUACUCUGAAUGCUACUUAGUUGAGGUUCCCUCUUUUUGUUACAACACCUUUAGAUACAUUGUUGUUCUUUGGAGGUAAAUUGUAGAGGCUCAGUUGUGUCAAUGUCUAGAUAUAUUGCACUGCUUAACGUCGUGAGACUGCUGAACAUCCUAUGUAGAUUCAACACUAUGGCGAUUCAGAACCAAGAUUCCUUGAGGACACAUGAAAAUAAUGAUUUGUUUGCAACUAGGGUUCUCUCUCGCCAACAUUUUUCUUUCUGUAAAAACCUUAGUUUAAUUUGAUCCUGUAAAUACCUUAGUGAACUCUAACACAAAUAUGGAUAAUCUCAUUUUCAUAUUUGUAAAUUCUUUUGUUUAUUUCAUUUAUUACCUGUGUCUAUUGAUAACUUCCUACGUGUUAACCCAUCCAAUACUACAGUAUACGUGUGUGUGUGUGUGUAUAUAUAUAUAUAUAUGUGUAUAUAUAUAUAUAUAUAUAUAUAUAUAUAUAUAUAUAUAUAUAUAUAUAUUAUUUUUUUUAAUAAUACAUUCUAAAAUGUAAUCUUUCAUUUUCUGUUCCUAUGGUCAGGGCAUUCAGCUAUUCUAAUUCUAGUAUUUAAACCCAAUGCUGGAUUGCUUGAUUAGUAGUUCCAUUUUUCAAGUAGAAAAAAGAAAAAACAUCAGCAAGAUAGGAUUCUUGUCUGGAUCUAGUAAUAACUAUUAAAGGUGACAGAUUAUCACACAUUCAAGUAAGAAGGUAGAAAGUAUGAAACAAGAGAGCGCAAAGCAAAUAAUAAUUGCACUAGUAUAAUAUGUAGAAAUAAUUAUUAAAAAUAUAAAAAUGCUGCUCAAUACAAAUGAAUCUCCCCAAUUCAACUCAACAUCCAAAUAGUAAACAAAAAAGUGUUAGCGCUUAGUAGAUAUGCCACCCUCGAAUGAUAAAGCUAUGGUACUACAAAUACAUAUAAUUAAAAAAACUUUUCUGAUUCCAGGUAUGAGAAACAUAGAAACAUAGAAACAUAGAAUGUGAUGGCAGAUAAGAACCAUUCGGCCCAUCUAGUCUGCCCAAUUUUCUAAAUACUUUCAUUACUCCCUAGUCUUAUCUUAUAGUUAGGAUAGCCUUAUGCCUAUCCCAUGCACGCUUAAACUCCUUUACUGUGUUAACCUCUACCACUUCAGCUGGAAGGCUAUUCCAUGCAUCCAUUACCCUCUCAGUAAAGUAAUACUUCCUGAUAUUAUUUUUAAACCUUUGUCCCUCUAAUUUAAGACUAUGUCCUCUUGUUGUGGUAGUUUUUCUUCUUUUAAAUAUAGUCUCCUCCUUUACUGUGUUGAUUCCCUUUAUGUAUUUAAAUGUUUCUAUCAUAUCCCCCCUGUCUCGUCUUUCCUCCAAGCUAUACAUGUUAAGAUCCUUUAACCUUUCCUGGUAAGUUUUAUCCCGCAAUCCAUGAACCAGUUUAGUAGCCCUUCUCUGAACCCUCUCUAAGGUAUCAAUAUCCUUCUGAAGAUACGGUCUCCAGUACUGUGUACAAUACUCCAAGUGAGGUCUCACCAGUGUUCUGUACAAUGGCAUGAGCACUUCCCUCUUUCUACUACUAAUACCUCUCCCUAUACAACCAAGCAUCCUGCUAGCAUUUCCUGCUGCUCUAUUACAUUGUCUGCCUACCUUUAAAUCAUCAGAAAUAAUCACCCCUAAAUCCCUUUCCUCAUAUGUUGAGGUUAGGACUCUAUCAAAUAUGCUGUACUCUGCCCUUGGGUUUUUACGUCCAAGAUGCAUUAUCUUGCACUUAUCCACAUUAAAUGUCAGUUGCCACAAUUCUUACCAUUUUUUUAGUUUACCUAAAUCAUUUGUCAUUUGGCUUAUCCCUCCUGGAACAUCAACCCUGUUACAUAUCUUAGUAUCAUCAGCAAAAAGACAUACCUUACCAUCAAGACCUUCUGCAAUAUCACUAAUAAAAAUAUUAAAGAGAAUGGGUCCAAGUACAGAUCCCUGAGGUACCCCACUGGUGACAAGUCCAAGCUUCGAAUAUAUUCCAUUAACUACAACCCUCUGUUGCCUGUCACUCAGCCACUGCCUUACCCAUUCAACAAUAUUGGAAUCCAAACUUAAAGAUUGCAGUUUAUUGAUAAGCCUUCUAUGUGCAACAGUGUCAAAAGCCUUACUGAAAUCUAGGUAAGCAAUGUCUACUGCACCACCCUGAUCUAUAAUCAUAAUAAUGAGGGAAAGGAUCUCAAUGUCUGUAUUGUUGUGGACUUGAUAUUAGAAUAGUGAUUCAACCUUAAAAUUAACAAAAACAAAUGCAAAGUAUAACACUGUUAAUUUAUGAAAACCCCCCUCUCUCCUUAUAGGAACUCUUACAGGAAAAAAACCUGGUGCUUGUCUUCAAGGAUCACCAAAAAAGCAUGCGAUAUGGUAUAGUUAGCAGAGUAAUUUUAGUGUUACCACUUUGUUGGGUCACCGCUGCGGUCUGCUCAGUGCACUUGAGCCGUAUAAGGUUGCUUGUCCCUCUGAAAUAACUAUUGCUACAUUUACACACUACAGUUACAAGUCUUUUCCAUUUUAAGACUCUUCUGCUGUGAUCUAGAGCUGUCACAAUCUUGAGCCUGAAUCUGGCUGAGCUUAAUGAGAGUGGUGAGUGGAAGACUGAGUUAUACUGUAAAUGAAAAAUAAAAAUGGGAAGGUAGUGCAGCACCGGACGUGCAGUAUGUGUGAGGUGUGCCAGGAGAUGACAGAACACCUAGUAAUGUGUAGUGUAUACUUGGAGUUAACUGAGCACUAACCACCCAAGUGAAACAAAAUUGCUGAAUUGAAGCUAAAGUAGCCAAGCUGUGACUACAACUGAGUUAUUGGAUUUGUCCAGAUCAGCUACUGUUGCCUCAAUUUUGCAAUUUAACCCUAAAUCCACUACAUAUUGUAGUAUAUUGAAAACAUUCCAUAUUGUUUGUAAGAGGAAAGGUGCAGACUUUUUUUUUUAUUUAGGACUGAGUGUGCAUAUGUGAAUGCAAUGAUGGGAUUAUAUAUGCCCACAAUUUAUAUUUUAUAUGGACACUUGGGUAUAGUUUUAGAUAUAUCUGUAACCAGGGCUACCACUGCUCAAGGUUUAGGCCCCUGGCGUCAACCCCUGAGUUUUCCUACAGUGCCGGCCCCGAGUCUGCCCACAAAGAUGCAGUGUGUGUGUGUGUGUGUGUGCAGAAAAUACAGUGUUUUUGUGGAGUGGAUAGAGUGGAUGUGUUUAUGUAGAGCAGGGGUGUCCAAAAAGUAGAUCCCUAGAUGUUAUAGAAUUACAACUCCCAUGAUGUUUGCAUGCCUUUAGAAUGGCAAAGCUUCAUGUAAGCUGUAGUUUUAAAACAUCUGAGGAUCUACCUUUUUGGCAUCAAUGGUGUAGAGCAAGGGUGGGGAACCUUCGGCCCUCCCGAUGUUUUUGACUACAUACAGCCAUAUUGCUAGCAAAGCAUCAAGGGAGAUGUAGUCCACACCAUCUGGAGGGCUGAAAGUUCCCCACCCCUGGUGAAGAGGAUGCAGUGUGUGGGGAAACAUUUUUACUUUUAACCAUUUAUUAAUUGUAUUCCCCCCUAAAUAUCUCAUAUAUGUGGCCAGGGAAGGGGGACACUAUCUGGUGAUCCCUUGGCAUUGUACAGGCUGCCAGGUGCUGUGCAGGGAAGAGGGAGCCUAGCCAACAUGGUCUUAAGCUUCCAGCAGCUCCUCUAUCCAACUCUUGCAAGUCCAGUUUACGUGUCGUGCAGAGCAUUGCCAUGGUAACUUGCAGCAGCACUCUGACAGCUGGGGGCUCCCGAGAGUUGGAGAGAACUUCUGAAAGCUAGUGAUCACAUGUGCUGGGCACUGUUUUCACUAUACAAGAUGCAGAGGGCCUGCAGGGGCAGUGCUGGAACUAAAGUAGAGAGAUCCCUGGUACAAGAUCUUUUUUUUGGGGCCAUCCUCAAAGAUUCCCAUCUGUCGUACAAGUCCCACAAUGCUUUGCUUGCUGGGGAUCUACAAGUUGCCCAUGCUUGCAGGGUUGUGUUUAGCACAGUGCAGUGUUUGUGUGUUUGAAUGUAAGCAUGCUUUUGUAUGGAGUAUGCGUGUGAGAAUAUUUUGAAUGCAGGCAUGCAUUUGUUUGUAGUGUAUAAACUGCCACACACAUAAAUACACACAUACACUGAUAUACAUUAUCUCACAAAAGUGAGUGCACCCCUCACAUUUCUGUAAAUAUUUUAUUAUAUCUUUUAAUGUGACAAAACUGAACAAAUGACACUCUGCUACAAUGUAAAGUAUUACGUGUACAGCCUGUAUAACAGUGUCAAUUUGCCGUCCCCUCAAAAUAACUCAACACACAGCCAUUAAUGUCUAAACCAUUGGCAACAAAAGUGAGUACACCCCUAAGUGGAAAUGUCCAAAUUGGGCCCAAUUAACCAUUUUUCCUCCCUAGUGUCAUGUGACUCAGUGUUACAAGGUCUCAGGUGUGAAUAGGGAGCAGGUGUGUUAAAUUUGGUGUUAUCGCUCUCACACUUUCUCAUACAGGUCACUGAAAGUUCAACAUGGCACCUCAUGGCAAAGAACUCUCUGAGGAUCUGUAAAAAAUAAUUAUUGCUCUACAUAAAGAUGGCCGUGGCUAUAAGAAGAUUGCCUAGACCCUGAAACUGUCACCUUUAAUAGUUAUUACUAGAUCCAGACAAGAAUCCUAUCUUGCUGAAUAGGGAGCAGGUGUGUUAAAUUUGGUGUUAUCGCUCUCACAUUUUCUCAUACAGGUCACUGAAAGUUCAACAUGGCACCUCAUGGCAAAGAACUCUCUGAGGAUCUGUAAAAAAGAAUUAUUGCUCUACAUAAAGAUGGCCGUGGCUAUAAGAAGAUUGCCUAGACCCUGAAACUGAGCUGCAGCACGGUAGGCAAGAGGGUUUCACAGGACAGGUUCCACUCAGAUCAUGCCUCACCAUGGUCGAAAAAACACGUGAUCAGCGACAUAUCCAGAGGUUUUCUUUGGGAUAUGGACUUAGGAGUGCUGCCAGCAUUGCUGCAGAGGUUGAGGGGGUGCUCAGACCAUAUGCCACACACUGCAUCAAAUUGGUCUGCAUGACUGUUGUCCCAGAAGGAAGCCUCUUCUAAAGAUGAUGCACAAGAAAGCCUGCAAACAGUUUGCUGAAGAUAAGCAGACUAAGGACAUGGAUUACUGGAAUCAUGUCCUGUGGUCAAAUGAGACCAAGAUAUUAUUUGGUUCAGAUGGUGUCAAGCGUGUGUGGCGGCAAACAGAUGAGGAAUAUAAAGACAAGUGUGUUUUGCCUACAGUCAAGCAUGGUGGUGGGAGUAUCAUGGCCUGGGCCUGCAUGAGUGCUGUCGGCACUGGGGAGCUACAGUUCACUGAGGGAACCCUGGAUGUACUGUGACAUACUGAAGCAGAGCAUGAUCCCCUCCCUUCGGAGACUGGACCGCAGGGCAGUAUUCCAACAUGAUAACAAUCCCAAACACACCUCCAAGACGACCACUGCCUUGCUAAAGAAGCUGAAGGUAAAGGAGAAGAACUGACCAAGCAUGUCUCCAGACCUAAACCCUAUUGAGCAUCUGUGGGGCAUCCUCAAAAGGAAGGUGGGGGAGCACAAGGUCUCCAACAUCCACCAGCUCCGUGAUGUUGUCAUAAAGGAGUGAAAGAGGACUUGAGUGGCAACCUGUGAAGCUCUGGUGAAUUCCAUGCCCAUGAGGGUUAAGGCAGUGCUGGAAAAUAAUGGUGGCCACACAAAAUAUUGACAGUUUGGGCCCAAUUUGAACAUUUCCACUCAGUACUCACUUUUGUUGCCAAUGGUUUAGACAUUAAUGGCUCUGUGUUGAGUUAUUUUGAGGGGGCUGCAAAUUUACACUGCUAUACAGGUUGCACACUUACUACUUUACAUUGUAGCAGAGUGUAAUUUCUUCAGUGUUGUCACACAAAAAGAUGUCAUAAAAUAUUUACAAAGGUGUGGGGUGUACUCACUUUUGUGAGAUACUGUACAUGCAAAUACACAGACACACACUGACACAUACACUGGUACAUAUGCACAGAGACAUUGUUGGGUAAGUGUGAUAGGGUUUGGGGAGUAGCUGUGAGGGUGGUUGAACAUGCCAUAGUUAGGGAGUGAGCAUGACAAGGUUGGAGGGGCACGGUGCGUGUGAGUGUUGGGGGUGGGUAAGUGUGACAGCUUGAGAGGUGGUAAGUGACUAUGGGAGGGUGUUGGUGUGACAGGGUUAGUGUGCCAGGGUUAGGGGGGUUAGUGUGACAAGGUUAGGGGGGUUAGUGUGACAGGGUUAGGAGAAUGUUAUAGAGUGUGUGGCAGAGAGAGGGGUGGUGAGUGACUAAGUGGAGAGAAUGACAGUAUUUGGGGAGGCUGCGUUAAACACAGGCAUAUACGCACAGCACAGAGGCAUACAUAUACACAAUAAAAAGAUGUGUCUGUACCUUUCUACUGGUACCUUGACUGGCCAGUUAUGGUUUCAGCAGGAAUGGCAGCUGCAAGCCUACUGUAGAGAGAGCAGGAAUGGCAGCAUGCCGCUGACCCUGCACUUUGUAGUUUUCCACUUUCUCCGACAGAGUUGUAACUUAGAACUGUUGUACCCCAAUGCAACAAUUAUGGAGGGCACCCUUUUUAAAUCCCCCUAAGCAUGAGUGGGUUGUGUGUGGUGACUGUGUGUGAGGUAGUCUGAUUGCAUGUGGAAGUUGACUGAGAGACACACACAGAAGGAUCACCAAAGGCAGCAAAAGGAGAACCAGAGAGGGAGAGAGAAACCCAGAGGUGAGAGGGAGGAAAACAGACAAUAAAAUAAGGAGAGUCCGAGACAGCCAAAGAAGGAGAGCAAGAGAGAGAGAAACGGAAAGAGAAAGGUAAACCAGAGACAGUCAUAUAAGUAGAGACAGAAAGAGAGUUGGAGAAACACAAGCAGAAGGAGAGCUAGAGAGAGACACACUGAGGGAGGAGAGCCAGAGGAAGAUAGAAAGGGAGGAGGAGAGAGAGACAAAGAAUGUCAUACACAGAGAGAAGGAAGAACAGAGAAUGAGAGCCUCAUAGGUGUGCAGGGAAAGGUCAGGUCUUUAAUAUUUGUAUAAGCUUCAAAAUUCAUAAAGUGCCUCUGCCAGGAUUGAGUUUCCCCAACCCUGAUUCAGAGUGCCACUGGAGGAGAGACUGAGAGUGUAGGAGAAUGUUUGUGGAGCUGCUGCUGGGCUUGAUGUGAGUUCCUAUGUGCUGUCCAUAGGCCCCAGAGCUUCCUGGGAACUGGGAUAGGCUCUCUUUUUCGGUGAGGAAGCAGCCUGCACAGAUAGAGUUGUGUUUUCAGAGAGGCCACCCGCAGCAAAUUCUGCCGUGCUGUACCCUGGGCAAAGGUGGAGCUAUGCUGCUGUAUUCUAUACUAAAAACAGUUUUGCAAGGGGUGCCCCAUCCAGUCUGGGCCCCACCUUGAUAGGAGAAGCCCAAUGGCCCAAUAGCCAUAGCGACCUUUGACGCCCUGGUAAUUCCACUAUUGCUCCUCAGUUUCCUCAUGAUACUUAUCUGCUCUUGCACUGCACAUGACCUCUGCAGUGAGGCUCAGAGCUGAGAGGAAGAAAAAUUGUGAUAGAAAGACAUUAAAAUGGUUGGUGAGAUCAUAUUCCCUGUGUGUCUUUUUCAUUGUGCAGCUUCCACUCCUGGCUGACUUCUAGACUCCCCAAGCAGACGGAGAGCAAGCAGGAGUAGCAGGGCAUGUAGUAAAAAGAGAUCCAGGACUAUAGGGAGACACAUUUGGGGCUUGGGCCACGUCCCCCUGCCCCCACUGCCCCUCAUUAAAAAGUAUGCUAUGAUAUUCUGCUCAUUCUCUUAAAGAGAUUAUUUCAGACAUAAUUUAAACACAUUUUGUUUGUAUCUGCAUUGUUCUAGAUUGUUAAUCAAAUAUUUUAGAAAUAUCGCUGGUGGGAGGGUAGCUACAUUUUUUCUGACAUUCUUUGUCAUGUGUCCCUAAUGCACUGCACUGUUUAAAACAUAAGGUGGUUACUUAAUGGUUUACUUAAAUGCCAGACUGCCAGCCUGCACUCAAUAAUGUUUAACAAAGCAGGCUAAAAUCUCCUUUAAAAAAACAGAUAUUUUCUAACAAAAUACAUAUUGUUGGAUUAAUUAUGGUCCAUAGCAUGUUCCUUUUGAAAGGUGCAAUUCUGCAGCAAUUGUGUUAUAAUGCAUCUGCCCACCCAUGCAGGUUUUGAAGCCCCCUACUGCUACUAAUUAACACUGACACUUAUUAAUAGAAAUAAUAACUAAGGACCAUUUUACAUCUGUUACUGUGCUAAAGUCAAUGUGUUCAUCGGACUCUUUGAUGUGGCAAUGCCACAGAACAAUAGGUGUACAUUUUUUUUUUAUCCUUCUCUUUUCUGAUCCCUAGUGGAUUCUGUUAAAAUAGAGACACAUAGAUUCUGAAAUGACUUCAUUUGCUCGCACUAAAUACCAAUACUAACCUACCAGUUUUAAAAUUAAGGGCAGAGAGGUUACAUCCACUGGGGACUUUUAUAUGUAUACCUUUGAUUAAUCAGAAACCUUUCCACUGACUUUAAAUAACACUCAUUCAAAUAAAUGGAGGCUUUGGGCAUCAGUAUAGAAACAGAUUUCUUGUAAAUGCGUCAGGAAUAAGUAAGCACACAUGUGACAUUGUGUGUGCAUGCAUGCAUGUUCAACAGGGACAUCAAUAGGAAUAUUUUUAAUUAUAAUUAUAUUUAAAUAUAUACUAUGUGUAUAAUAGAUUAAAAAUGACAAUUAAAUCUUUCCUGAAGUGUCCCUUUAAUUAUAAGUUCACUGUGCUGCCAUUGUGAAUUAUGAAGCACACUAAAUGACCAUGCAGUUUUAAUCAGGACAGUGAUAUUGCUUUAGAGGUUUUAAUGCGGAAGAUGGAAGACUUAAAAGACUGCAGAUAUUUUUUAUGCAAGAAGCAUUAAAGAAACAUAGCUGCUGACAAAAUCGUGAUUGCACCACAUUUACAAGAAAGCAUAACUAUGUACAUUUUGUACAAAAUACUUAUAAACUGGUUUCAGCAGAAAAUUAAAUCCAGAUAAAUUAACCUUUUUAAGUUAGAACAAUACAUUGCUCAUCUCCAAGUGAACCAAAUGGUUAAAUUAUAAUUGAACUGCCUAUUUAGAAUGAUUGUAAUGGUCGAGCACAGAUAAUGCAUCUUGAUCAUUAGGUUAAUGCAGACAUAUCAAUUUUUUCUGCGAGUGUGUCUGAAUUCUUCUCGGUAUUCAUGUCAUAAAAAAAGACAUUUCCCGCCAAAUGCCAUCAGUAUAUCAGAUUGGAAAUCAAUUGUACAAGCAAAAAAAGAAAAAAAGUCAUUAAAGUAAGGCUUCAAUUCAUAUUUUAGAAGAAUGAUUUCAAUAUAUAUCUGCUUAAUGUUUGUCUAUGAAUGCUUGAAUUAUUGGUUAAAAAUGCUAAUUCUGCAAGAAGGUCAGAUUUAAUGGAACUCAGUUUUCAUGCCCAUAUAGUAUGCAAGAAGACUCUGCAAGAGUCCAGUUGCAUGGAAAUAAAUGUUUUUUAAAAGAUUAAUGUACCAGCAUAUUGUACAAGAUAAAGAGAAAGAUAAUGUUUUAGAUAGCAUGCUUUUAAACAUUUUCUGGAUGUUUAUCAGAUAUCUUGGAUUGUAAUUUCUUUCACACAGAUAACAUGCAAAAGCAAGUAAACAUUAUAUUCAGCUUUUUAGAAAUUGUUUGCAAUUUUCAUUCCUACUGUGAAUAAAGUAUUUAUCCAUGUUUUUCACUCCAUCAUUCUGACAACAAAACUGUAGAUUGGUAAAAUUAUAACAAAUAUAUGUUCAUAGACACUGAUCAGCACAACAUUAAAAAAGCGGCCUAAAAUAGUUACCAAGUAACCUUCUUCCAUUGCUCCAGCUCUGAUGCUCAUAUCCCCAUUGAAGGCACUUUUGGUGGUGAACUGGAGUAAUCAUGGGCACUCUGACCUGUCUGAAAUAAUGCAGCCCCAUAAAUUGUGUGUUUUGAAACAUUUUGUGGCCAGCAUUAAAGGGACACCAAAACAAAACAUAGUCACCAAAACAACUUUAGCUUAAUAAAGCAAAUUUGUAUAGAUCAUGCCCCUGCAGUCUCACUGCUCAGUUCCCUGCCAUUUAGGAGGUGAAGACUGUUUCUAUAGCCCUAAGCACACCUCUUUGCAUGUGAUUGACACAGUCGUCCUAAACACUUCCUGUAAAGACUCAUCUAAUGUACACUUCCUUUAUUGCAAAUUCUAUUUAAUUUAAAAUGUUAUAUCUCCUAUUCUGUUAAUAGCUUGCUAGACCCUACAGAAGCCUCCUGUAUGUGCUUAACGUUCAAUUUACAGAGCAAGAGAUAAAAAUUUUUAAAGUAAGCUACAUCUGAUUGAAAAUGAAACCAUUUUGUUUUCAUGCAGGCUGUCUCAGUCACAGCCAGUGGAGGUGUGGCUAGGGCUGCAUAAACAGACACUAAAGUGAUUUAACUUCUAAAUGGCAAAGGAUUGAGCAGUAAAACUUAAGCAGUGGCAUGAUCUAUACACAAAAAAACUAAGUUGUUUUGGUGACUAUAGUGACCCUUUAAGUUUUCCAAUAAAUUAAGCUCUCUUUGCUCGCCGCAUGCACCAAAUGAGCCUUGGGCGCCCAUGACCACUUGUCCUUCCUUGCAUGACUUUUUGUAAGUACUAACCACUACACACAGGGAACACCCAACAAGAUUUUUUUAUUUUGAAAAUGCCCAGUCAUCUAGCCAUCACAUCUUGUCAAAAUCACUCAGAUCUCUUUGCUUGCCCUUUUUUCCUGCUUCCAACAUAUGAAAUUCAAGAAAUGACUGUGCGCUUGCUGUCUAUUAUAACCCACCCUUUGACAGGUGCCAUUGGAACAAUAAAGUCAGAGGGGGGAGGGGGGAGUGUGUGUGUGUGUGUGUGUGUGUGUAUGAAACACAUCAGCACUCCCAGGUAGCUUUCUUAGGAUUUUCUUUUACUAAAAAGUGUAACAAGCAAUGUUUCAGUUCCAUUCAUUCAGUUUCAUCAGGACAACCAUCAGUAAAAGAAGUUCCUAAGAAAGUUACCUGGGAGUGCUGAUUGUUUUCUUUAAUACAUUUAGUGAAAUCAAGCACCAGGUCAAAUAACUGUAAGUAGGAGUGCAAGGCUUUUUUCAUUAUAUAUGUAUAUAUAUAUAUGUUGAAAAUGACAUAGCUGUAGAUACUGGCAUACAAGGAGUAAGAUAUAUUAUAAAAUAGUGUGAUAUCAUUAAGAUUACUAAGACUUUGUGGUAACACUUGAUAGGGAUAUUAAGUACAUUGAUAUGCAUUUUUAGGUAGUGUAGGAAAAAUAGAAAAUGGGAGGGGUAUGUUUACAUAUCAAAUCUGAAUUGAAGUCAAGUUUUAUAUGUGAUGAUACAAUUGAGGAUGAGGUAGCAUUAUAGGUAGAAAUGUGCAUAGGAGGAAACAGGUGGCAUUCAUUAAUAGUAGGAAUAUGUUACAAACCUAAAACAUUAAUACUGAUGGGAAUGAGCAACUGCUAUCUCAAAUUAAUAAGGCUACACAUCUGGGCAAUUUGUUAAUUAUUGGCAUUUAAUCAUCCAUAUAGUGACAGUGGGCCAGAGGGACUAGUAGUACAGUUAAGGGAUACAUGUUUUUGAAUAUGUUAAAUUAUACUUUCAAAUCUCAAAUAGAAGCACCAAUUAGAAUAGAUGCUUGUCCGAAACUUGUAAUAACAAAUAAUGUUGGCCUAUUUUAUAAAUUUUCAAGUUUGGAAGCUCUUGGGAAACAGUGACUAAUAACGCUGUCAGUUAUGCCUCCAUGGCUAAAAUAAUUAAUCUGAUGAUCUAAGCCAGGAUGCAGGCAACCUUUGGCACCCCAGAUGUUCUGGACUAUAACGUUCAUAAUGUUCUUACACCCGUAAUACUGGCAAACCAUCAGCGGAGAUGUAGUCAACAACAUCUGGAGUGUCAAAGGUUCUAAGCCAAUCCAAAACAUCCCCAUAGGGAAAGUGCUGUAUAUUACUGUGCUGCACCUAUUUAACACAGUCCAAUAAGAAGUGAGUCUGAAUAAGAAGUGAGUCUGACUUGGUUGUCACCGGAAAAGCACCUCUUCAGGAAGACUGCCUCUAGAGGUGUAUUACCCUGCAAUCAUAAAAUUGCUAUUCUACUAAACGCAGUGGUGUAUCCUGGUUUUGUGCUGCCCUAGGCAGGACAAAACUCAGGCGCCCCCCCACCCAACCCUUCCCCCCGCCCUGCCUUCUAAAUACACACACAUUCACUGACAGAUACACAUACACUAGCUAACAGAAACACACACUCGCUAACAGAAACACACACACUAACAGACACACUCACACUCACUAACAGACAAACACACACUCACUAGCAGACACACACACUCACUGACACACGCUCACAGGCAAACACACUCACACUAACAGACACACAGUCAGACACACACACACUAACAGACACAACCAGUCAGACACACACACAUUAACAGACACACACUCACUAGCAGACACACACACUCACUAACAGACACACACACUCACAGGCAAACACACACUCACUAACAGACACACACUAGCAGACACACACACUCACUAACAGACACACACACUCACAGGCAAACACACACUAGCAGACACAUACACUCACUAACAGACACACACACUCAGAGGCAAACACAGUCACACUAACAGACACACACACACACACACAGUCAGACAGACAGACACACACUCACUCACUAGCAGACACACACUAGCAGAUACACACACACACACUAACAGACAUACACACACUCACUCACAUUAACACUUUUUUUUAUUUAACCCCCCCAGCCUCCUUACCUUUAGGAAUGCUGGGGGGGUUCUCUUUCUACCUGGGGGUACAGUGGCUGCUGGGCGGGCGGGCGGCGCUGGCGGGCGGCUGGCGAGGGAGCACUUCCCCAUAGCUGUCUGCUUAGCUCCCUUUUGCGCUGCAGAGUGAAGCUGGGAGCUGGAAUAUGACGUCAUAUUCCGGCUUCCAGCUUUACUCUGCAGCGCACGAGGGAGCUGAGCAGACCGCUCAGAGGAAGAGCUCCCUCGCCAGCCGCCCGCCCAGCCCAGCAUGUCAGUUAGCCGCAAGGCUAACAAGGCAUUUGCCCUGGGCAUUUGGGGGCGGCGUUUUUUGCCUCGCGGCUAAAACGUCCCAGACUAAACGGCAAUGUUUCAGAUUGUAGGGUUAAACCUUAAAGGCCACUGUACCAAGACCCAUUCAUUGUGAUGAAGUGGCCAGGGAGCAUUUAGUAGACCUUCAAUACCAAAAAGGCAACGAGUUAAAAUGUUGGUCCAUCUGAGAUCUGACAUGAGUGAGAUCUGAUUCUGACAUGAGUUAAUGCAAGCAUGUCAAACUCGUGGCCCACAUGUGGCCCACAGGGACCCUCUUUGCGGCCCGGCGAGCCGCAAGUACAUGCUGGUGUUAUAGUAGAGACACCUGCUUUCCCCAUAUUGGGGAGGAGGGCCAGCGAGGGAGCUCGGUGUUCCUGCUCCUCACUGCUCCCUCACGCGCGCCGUCUGAAGUGAAGCCGGGCGCCGGAAUAUGACGUCAUAUUCCGGCACCCGGCAUCACUAAACCUUGUGAGGGAGCAGUGAGAAGGACCCCAGGGAGAUGCCCCACAUUGGCUUCAUAAGGUAAGGAGCAAUACAAAAAAGUAUGUGUGUGCAAGAAUGUGUAAGUGUGUGUGUGUGUGUGUGUCUGUCAGUGAGUCUGUCUGUGUGUGUCUGUGUGUCUGUCAGUGUGUCUGUCAGUCUGUGUGUGUGUGUCUGUCAGCAAGUAUGUUUGUGUGUCUGUCAGUGAGUGUGUGUGUCUGUCAGUGUGUCUGUGUGUCUGUGUGUGUCUGUCAGUGUGUGUGUCUGUGAGUAUGUGUGUGUCUGUCAGUGAGUAUAUGUGUCUGUGUGUGUUUGUGUCUGUCAGCAAGUAUGUGUGUGUCUGUCAGCAAGUAUGUGUGUGUCUGUCUGUGAGUAUGUGUGUGUCUGUCAGUGAGUAUCAUUGUUACUGUAUGUGUGUGUCUGUCAGAGAAUAUGUGUGUGUGUCAGUGAGAGGAUCAGAUUUGCACAGAGUGGUAGAGGGGGGGCUGGGAUUUAGUAGAGGGUGGUGCAGUAGUUUAGUAGAGGGGGAUGCUGGGGGUUUUUUUAUACUGUACUUUUUAAAAUAAACCUACGUUUCUAUGAAAAUUUAUGGUAUUUCAAAUUUUUGCUGCCCACAUAAACUUAAACCUUGUUUAUGUGGCCCGAUCCAGACUUUGAGUUUGACAUGUUUGAGUUAAAGAAUUUCUGAAUACAAUUUUUUAUUCAAUAAAUAGCAAAGAAUAAUCUACAUCUGUAGAUUUAUAGAUUACUGUUACAAAGCCUUGAAGCAAAUAGUUGAUUAGUUAACACAGUAUAAAGUACAUCAGCAAUUAAGUAAACAAAGCCCCAGAUGGUAUUCACCCAUAAUCAUAGGUGUGCGCAGCCUAUUGCAUUAGGGUGUGCACUCUAAAGCACAAACACUGCUGUGUGUGUGUGUGCGUUGUGUGAGAGUGGUUUGAGGGUGUUGUGUGUGUAAGGGUGCUGUGUGUGAGGGUGCUGUUAGUGUGAUGUGUGUGUGAUGGUGCUGUUUGUGUGCUAUGUGUGUGUUUGUUAGGGUCCUGUUAGUGUGCUGUGUGUGUGAGGGUGCUGUGUGUGUGUGUUUGUGAGGGUGCUGUUUGUGUGCUGUGUGUGAGAGGGUGCUGUGUGUGAGAGGGUGCUGUGUGUUUGAGGGUGCUGUGUGUUUGAGGGUGCUGUAUGUGUGAGGGUGCUGUGUGUGUGUGGGUGCUGUAUGUGUGUGUGUGUGCUGUAUGUGUGUGUGAAGGUGCUAUGUGUGUGGGUGCUGUAUGUGUGUGUGUGUAGGUGCUGUAUGUGUGUGUGUGUAGGUGCUGCGUAUGUGUGUGUGUGCUGUAUGUGUGUAGGUUCUGUGGGUGAUUGUGGGGGGUGGAGGUGGGAGUACAUUACUUAAUAUCCCCCCUCCCUUAUGUACCUUAUGUAGGGAGGGGGGAUCGUGCUGCUGUCAUCCCUGGUGGUCCAGUGGAGGGUGAACUCUAGCCUGUGGGGCUAGAAUUCACUCUCGCGAGAUCUGAGCGUUGCCACGGCAACGCUCCAACCUCGCGAGAGGAGCCCGGCGGAGCUGCUGGUUGAGCUCCUCGGAUCCUCUCCUGCCUCCCUCCAUGCUGCUGUGGGGAGGGAGGCUUAGAGCAGAGCCGGCGCUCGGAUAGUGCUGGCUCUGCAUGAGCCGACAGGGGAGAUCCUGAGAUCUCCCCUUCCGGUCUCAAUACAUAGGCGUGCCGCGGGGAUUAGGGUGUGCCCAGGCACACCCGGCACACCCCGUGUGCACGCCUAUGCCCAUAAUACUUAUAAGAUUCUGCACUAGAGACCACAUUUUGUCUAGAUGGACAAAAUCUUGUGAUAAUGACCAAAAUCCAGCAACAAUGGCAAUGCUAAUACUUACUAAAGCCAAAUAUGGUUGGAAUUUAGUCAGCCUCAUUGAAUCUGCAGCAAUCACCUGGAUGACUUCAGUGUCAAUAUUAAAAUCUGUGCUCUCACAUCUGAAUCCUAUACAAAAGUGUAGGAUUAGUAAUAUUCACAAAGAACUGUCUUUAACCCCUUAAGUACCAAACUUCUGGAAUAAAAGGGAAUGAUGACAUGUCACACAUGUCAUGUGUCCUUAAGGGGUUAAUUCAGUUUGGAACCAAAUACAUCUGUAAGAGGCACAUUUGCAAAUUACAACUCACUUUCUUUUUCUGCAAGUGAAUGAUAAUUUUAAGUACUAUUGACAACUAAACUGUUAAAAGAAACAAAAACAAAAAAAACAACAACAACACUGUUAGUCUUAAAAAUGUGGUUGCUGGCCAGCAUUUUCAAUUCAGUCUCCAUAUUAAAAAAGAAAAUAAUUACAUUUAAAAUCAAUGGCAUUUAAUAAUUCUCCCACAUUAUUAUAAGGGAGGUUUAAAGUCUUCCUAUUCACCCUCCCACCAUAGGGCAGGUGAGGGCAUAAAUAUCUAGAAAUAAAUAUAUAAUACUAGUGACUGUACAGGCAUUGUUGCCCAGUUGCCAGAAAGACCCCAUCCCCUGUAAAAGUUUGGGGAGAUAUAGCGCCCAACAGAUGGCGUAAUUAAAAAAACAAGUGAAAUAUCUCCUUGUGAACCAGAUUAUCUACAAAGAGUUUAAUUACUUUAUUUUAUAAUUUAUUAACUGUUACAUAACUUUAAUUUAUACAAACACGGAGUGUCCAAUGCCAAGUCCACAAGCAUAUACAUUUGUCAGAAAUGUUACAUUAUCUUUUUUUUAAUUCUUUUUCAAAAAAAAUUUAAAAUUUGCCCUCCAAUAUUGCCAUAAUGUACUAAUGACUCUUGUAUUUAUUUGAUAAAUUUAGUGUUAGCCACUCUUCAAAAUGUUGUUUUUAGGAAGACAAAUAAUAUUUUAAGACUCAUGAUUAUUGUUAAGUUUAUGCUAAUAAAUAAACACAAUGCUUGUUCUGCUAAAAUGAUGAAGAGAAUAAAGCAUUUUUUUAAAGAGGAGCAUCCGAAUGAAGGGUACUUGAACAAUGAUGAAUUAUUAAUUUGCCAUUGAUGCUUGUGUUUAUGCAAAUUCUUUAUCUUUAAAAAAAAAAAAAAAAAAUAAUAUAGGAGUAGAUGGCUGGUGACCCACCAUAUAUGAAAAAUGUGAAAGGAUCAAUUAUUUCUGAUGAUUGUGAUGAUUAUUAUUUUUCUUACUGUUGACCAGCAAUUUUUAUAUGCAGCUUUACUCCUAUGUUUACAUUUAUAUAUUAAAGGCAGAGAUAUACUGACCUUUGAAUUCAUUCAUUUGUGCAUAUGACCUGCUGCAUAAUUUAUUGAGAAGAGCAUAUAUAAUGCACUUUAUAAUUCAAAUCUUUCCAAAAUUCUACCAAUAGGUAUUUAUUUAUGGCUUUUACUCCUUGUUCAUAAAAAUGAAAGAAAAAUAUACAAAUUAUAUUCACUUGGUCUACAAUUAAAAAAAUGUUCAGAAAGCAAUGCGGAGUGGCUAAUAUAAUAAAAAUGCCCCUUCUUGCACUAGUACAGUGGCAAAACUCAAGUAUUCACGAGUGCAAACAGACCCCCUUUGCUCCAUCUGUGAUGGGAGCCCAAGAGCUGGCUGGUUGGCCACCUGAGGCCCCUCAUUGAGGCCGGUGGCAGUGAGGGAGGUGUAAUCUUUAUGCUCUACUUGCUCUGCUCCCUUGCACGCCCUACUGUAAAUCAGGAAGCCAUGAUAUCAUGUCACUCUGGCCUGGCUUCACCAAAUGUCACCCGAAGAAACAGUAAAAUAAGCAGGAAGAGUCAAUUACUGGACCACAGGAUAAGGAAACACUCCAGCUCUCCCGCAGGUAGGGAGGCUGGGUGGACUUUAAUUAAAAAAUAAUAAUAAUUAAUGAGUGCAUGUGUCACAGGUUUGUAGUGAAUGGGCUCAGUAUGCAGAUAUUUGAACAAAACACAUUCACUUAAGAGCUUUAUUGAUGAAUGAAUGCAAUAAAUUGGUAAAUCCGGGAAGUAAACAAAUGUAAUAAGACCAUUCAACAAAUAAAGAUUAAAAAGUCUUGUAGAGAGGAUAAGCAAAUACAAGUAUAAAGUCUCAGGUUACAAAACAAAUAGACAAAGCUCACCAUAAGAUCCAACACUGGUCCAGGGUGGCAAGGGCUAGUCCAAGCAAGUCAGGUUAACUGAGAUAAACAAAGGCAAGGCCAAGCUCGUACUGAUUAGCAAGGCAGAUCCUAACUGGUAGGCAUUAAUAAAGGCAAGUCCAAGCUGGUAGGGGUUAACAAAGGUAAAUCUAGGCUUGUAGGAGUUAACAAAGAUAAAUCCAAGCUGGUUAGUAAGCAGGGCAUGCCCAAGCCUCUUCUGUUUGUGUCUGUCAGUGUGUUAGAUUAGUGAAAGUGUGUGUCUGUCAGUGAGUAUGUGUGUCAGUGAGUGUGUCAAAUCAGUGAGGGUGUGUGUAUCUCAGUGUAUGUCUGUCAGUGAGAGUGUGUGUUGGUUAAACAGUAUGUGUGUCAAUGACUGUGGAUCUGCCAUUGAUUGUAUGUCAAUGUAUAUGUUUAUUAGUGAGGGGAGGUUUCAGUGAAAGUGGGUGUGUUUUGGGUCUGUGAGACUGUGAGAGUGCAUGUGCUUAACAGUAUAAAAUAGUUGAAUUCAAUUUUAUUUAGCAAUAUGCAUAUAUGUAUGAAAAAAAAAUAAAUAAAUAAAUAUAUAUAUAUAUAUAUAUAUAUAUAUAAUGUAUGUGUGUAUACACACAGUAUAUAUACAUGUGCAUGUAUUAUUAAUAAAAGUGUAUAUAAAAUAAGUAUAUUAAAAAGCAUUCAAUUACAUCACUACAUUGAAAGGCAGUCCUCUUGCUCCCUGUCACUGUGUUAUGCCUCCAACAGAGGCUUACUGGUGGAAUUUAGGAUGCAAUCAUGCCAGUCUGCUGGCAGUGAAGCCAGCAUGUUGGUUUCAACACGGGGGAUUGCCUUGCUUAGGGAAGUGACUUAGCUGGCAGGGUCAAUCAUUUCACACUCACACACAGCCAAACCCUAUAUGCAAUCACACUUUGCCAGCCACACACAUACACACAAUCACACUCCACCAACUCCACACAUACAUCACACUCGACCAGCAAACACAAUCACACUCAGCCAAGACCAACACAGAUUCACAUUCAGUUAACCCACAAACAAUCACACUCAGCCACCUCACACAUUCCACUUAGGUGUAGGGGGGUCAAGGAGGGAGGUAAAGGGGGCCUUUCCUUGAUUCUUGCACUGGGGCCCUGUAAUUCCUAAUUGUACAGGGACCACUUGAAAAAGGAGUAUGACUGGAUUUUGACGAUUGGAGUAAUGGAACAAUAAAGCUGGUGUUUAUAUUAAAAAAUUGUAUUGUUUGCAAAAUAAAUGUAAGUGGCAUGAAUUGUACCAACAACCACUGCGAGUGCUAUGUGGAUUUUUAAUGAAUCAUCCAGCAUUGAAGAUGUGUAUGAUGGAGCUCCCAGUACCUCGAUUGGGUACCACUGCUAAUUCAACUUGCAGGGACCCUGGAACGCUUCUGCCCCGGCUUGACUGGAGUCUUUCUGGAGCUUUUGCACCCGUCCAGGCAGCAGCUCUCAUUCCAGGCAGGUGUCAUCCCCUCUGCCUAUUCCGCUGCAGCCCUUUUUCCAGGCAGGUAUCGUCCCCUCUGCCUGUUCUUAUUCUGCCUUCUUACAGUGAUUAAAGUUAUUGUCUUUAAAAUGGCAACUGCGGCUCUCACGCUUAGCUCUCUUGAUCUAUCACAGGGAUAGAGGGAUCCUGCAACCAGGAAACAGGUCUGAAGACUCUGUUACUGGGAUCCCUAAAAAUCCACACAGGACACAAGUUCCAAAAGGAACUUACAUACAAUAUUGUAUUUUUCACAGGACUAGUGCAUAGACUCAUUAUAUGUAGAUUGCUGUGACAAGUUAAAUAAAAUACAAAUAACCAAAUCGUAGCAGACAACAUACAGCAAUUUAUUAUAACACAAUUAAAUAUUUACACCCUGUUCCAAAUUAUUAUGCAAAUGAUAUUUUUCUCAUUUACCUAAAUAAUUGAUGUAAAUAACAGUCAGCAUAAUUCUCAUGUUAUCAACUAUUAAGAGUACAAUUCAAAUUUUAUUGAACAAACCUCCUAAUGAUAACAGUUUUUUUUUAAACAUUAAAAACUUUCAAUGCAUUGUUCCAAAUUAUAAUGCACAGUAAGUUUCAAAACACUUUAUAGGUAGUGAUGUCGCGAACAUGAAAUUUUAUGACAUCACUACCUAUAAAGUAUUUUGAAACUUACUGUGCAUUAUAAUUUGGACCGGGCGAACCGCCAUAGACUUCAAUAGGCAGGCGAAUUUUAAAACCCACAAGUUGUUUCAAGGGGACUAACACCUGGACUGUGGCAUGCAAACUCCGAUCCGCGGCUGCAUCUUGCAGCCGCUUAGUAGAUAACUCCCUAAUUCCCACGGUAUUAGGGAGUUAUCUACUAAAAGGCUGAAAGACCUAAAUUGGUCUUUCAGCCACAUUUACUAAUACUAAGUAAAGAUUACUUAGUAUUAGUAAAUUUUGCCCCUACUCGCUAUGCAGCGAGUAGGGGCAUGUCUAGUAAAAAAAAAAAAAAAAAAUACCUAUUGCCCCCACCCCUGUGCGACGGGUGGGGGCCAUAAAUUACAAUGGGGGGGAGGACCUACUGUCCUCCCCCCCGGCCCCCACCCCUGGGCGGCAGGUGGGGGCCAUAAAGAUAAUGAGGGGGGAGACCUACUGUCUUCCCCCCGGCCCCCACCCCUGGGCGGCGGGUGGGGGCCAUAAAGAUAAUGAGGGGGGAGGGACCUACUGUCCUCCCCCCCCGCCCCCACCCCUGCGCGGCGGGUGGGGGCCAUAAAGAUAAUGAGGGGGGGACCUACUGUCCUCCCCCCCUGGCCCCCACCCCUGCGCGGUGGGUGGGGGCAAAUAAAUCACAAUGGGGGGGACCUAAGGUCCUGCGCCUGGCCCCCACCCUUGAGCGGCGGGUGGGGGCCCUAAAUACUAAAAAGGGGGGGGACCUAAUGUCCUCCCCCCAGGCCCCCAACCCUGAGCGGUGGGUGGGGGACCUAAAUACUAAAAAGGGGGGGACCUAAGGUCCUCCCCCCCGGCCCCCACCCCUGAGCGGCGGGUGGGGGCCCUAAAAAAAAGUCCGUCCCCCCCCAGGUGACUAGGGGUCCCCAAAUCCCUAGUCACCCCCUCCCCCCCCCAAAAAAAUAACCCCCUACCUACCCCCCUCACCCUAAAAAUAAUGAGGGGGGGACCUUUAACUAAGUAUCUGUAAAAAAAAAAAAAAAAACUUACCAUUUGAUGUUUUCUUUCUUCUAAAUCUUCUUUUUUCAGCCCCAAAAAAGGCCAAAUAAAAAAACAUUUUUUUAGGGCCCCCACCCGCCGCUCAGGGGUGGGGGCUGGGGGGGAGGACAUUAGGUCCCCCCCCUUUUUAGUAUUUAGGGCCCCCACCCGCCGCUCAGGGAUGGGGGCCAGGGGGGAGGGGGAGGACCUUAGGUCCCCCCCUUUUUAGUAUUUAUGGCCCCCACCCAUCGCUCAGGGGUGGGGGCAGGUGGGAGGACCUUAGGUCCCCCCCUUUUUAGUAUUUAGGGCCCCCACCCGCCGCUCAGGGGUGGGGGCCAGGGGGGAGGACCUUAGGUCCCCCGCCUUCUUAGUAUUUAGGGCCCCAACCCACCACUCAGGGGUGGGGGCCGGGGGGGGACAGAAGUUCCCCCCUAUUGUUUUUUUUAGGGCCCCCACCCACCGCUCAGGGGUGGGGGCUGGGGGGAGGACAGUAGGUCCCCCCCCCAUAUCAUUGAGUAAACUUUGACAACCCCCACCCCCGAGUGGCGGGUGGGGGGGUUGUCAAAGUUUACUCAAUGAUAUGGAAUAGGGGGCGGACCGAACAUCGCAUAUGUUCGCCCGCCGCGGCAAACGCGAACAAGCGAUGUUCGCCAGGAACUAUUCGCCAGCGACCUGUUCGGGACAUCUCUAUUUAUAGGUUGUAAAGAACUGAAAAUUGUCAUUUGUUGUGUUUGCAGCAUAUUUACUGUAAUCAAAAGCAAUUUCAAUCAAACAUAACAAAAUCUUAACUUUUUAAACAUUUUAACAGGUCACAUUACAUUUUAACAUAGGACCCCUUAUUUGAUAGCAGCUUCACAAGUCUUGCAUCUAUUGAACUUGUGAGUUUUUGGACAGUUUCUGCUUGAAGAUUUCAGAAUAGCCUCCCAGAGCUGCUCUUUGCAUGUAAACUGCCUCCCACCCUUAUAGAUCUUUUGCUUGAGGAUGCUCCAAAGGUUCCCAAUAGGAUUGAGGUCAGGGGAGGAUGGAGGCCACCCCAUGACUUUCUCUCCUUUUAUCCCCAUAGCAGCCAUUGAUGCAGAAGUAUUCUUUGCAGCAUGAGAUGGUACAUUGUCAUACAUGAAGAUGAUUUUAUUACGGAAAGCAUAGUUCUUCCUUUUGUACCAGGGAAGAAAGUGGUCAGUCAAAAACUCCAUAUACUUUGCAGAGGUCAUCUUUACACCUUCUGGCACCCUAAAGGGGCCGACCAGCUCUCUUCCCAUGAUUCCGGCCCAAAACAUGACUCCACCACUAUCUUGCUGACGCUCCAUCCACUACUCCAUCCAUCUGGACCAUCCAGGGUUGCACGGCACUCAUCAGUGAACAGGACUGUUUGAAAAUUAGUCUUCAUGUAUUUUUCUACCCAAUGCAGCCAUUUUUGCUUAUGAGCAUUGGUUAGUGGUGGCCAAAUAGAAGGUUUAUGCAUAGUUGCAAGACUCUGGAGGACUCUACACCUUGAUGUCCAUGGGACUCCAGAGGCACCAGCAGCUUCAAAUAUCUGUUUACUGCUAUGUAAUAGUAUUUUAGAAGCUGCUCUCUUGAUUCGAUGCAUGGAUCUUGCAGAAAUCUUCCUCAAUGUGCCUUUAUCUGCAUAAACCCGUCUUUGCUCUGAAUCAGCCACAAAUCUCUUAAUAGUGCGAUGAUCAUGCUUAAGUUUUCGUGAAAUAUCUAAUGUUUUCAUACCUCAUCCAAGACGUUGAACUAUUUCACUAUUUUCGGCAGCAGGGAGAUCCUUUUUCUUCCCCAUAUUGCAUGAAAAUGGUGCUCUGCUUAAUAAUGUGGAACACCCUCCUUUAGUAGUUUUUUCUUAAAUUGGGCUCACCCGGCAAUCUAAUUAUCACAGGUGUCCGAGAUUGUUUUCAGUGAUCAAAAGAGCCCUGAGACACAAUGCCAUCCAUGAGUUAAACUGAAAAACAACAUAUCUAAUCUUUGUGACACUUAAAUAGAAUUUGCAUAAUAAUUUUGAAAAGGGUGUAAAAGUGGUUGGGGAAGAUAAUAAUGAACACUAAAUAUCUCUCCUGCCUGCAGAAUUAGCAAUAUGCAAAUACACCCAAAUAUGCAAAUUAGCAAGCCUUGCUAUUCAGGUAGUGCAUAUAGCUGUUGCUUCAACCAACAGAGGGCAAUAUACAGGCUCAAUUGCGAAAUCCUCCUAGUUGGUAGCAAGCAUCAGCAGGAAAGGAGAGCACACACAAUUAACAAUAAAUACAUAAUACACAUACAUUACACACACUCUGAACCUAGAAUGGGCACAGGGUGACUUAAACAAAGUAAUCAUCCAGGGAUCUAAUUGAAGUGUCCAUCUUAUGUUCCCAGUGAUGGUGGCUACUGUCACAAUUUGUAUUAAAGGAAUAAAACACACUUAAAGAGACACUAUAAUAUAUUCUCCAAUUGGAAUAGGGGGGUUGUUUGAAGAGACCUAGCAUGAACCCUUGGUUGAGUUCUGCUGAGAGCAGUGUGUCCGUGGUGUUGGGGUCUAAGGUGGACGAUUACAUUCUAAAGUGCCCCCUGGGAGUGCCACAAGCCCCAUGUGGAACCAUUCCGUGAUCCCCGUGGUGAGGAAAUUGACCAAGUGUGGGGAGGGGUGUCUGAAGAGAUCAUUUCUGUGAGUCAUUGCUUAGGGAAUAACCGGUUGGAGCACAUGGUCUUUCAUGUGCCCUAAAGCAAAGGGAACAGAUAUGCAGCAACCGACAUCCGCUGAAAAUACAACCUCCAGUGUUGAAGUUGUUGCAUAUCUGUGCCUUACCUAGGAAGACGAUGGGCCUGCCAAGUUUGUCCUUGAGUACCCUUGCUGACUUGUUGGGAGUGGACUCUGCUUUGCUGGUAGUAGGCAGGCUACCUUUGGUGGGGCACAGAUUGGAGAAUGUGGGCGUGGUCAUCUUUCUAACCCCUCCCCUUUGCAACAGACAGUCACAUGCUCUCACUGAGAGUGACACGCUCUCACUUAGAGACACACACACUCACUGAUUUGUCACACACUGACAGAAACAUACUCAGACAGAAACAUUGAAACACACUCUCAAUGAUAGAUACACAAUCUCACUGAUUUGAAACACUCGCUGACAGACACAAAUUCUGAUAGACACUUAGUGGUACACAAAACAAGGAAGUCCAGCAUUUUAAAUCACAACAUACAUUAUCACACAAUUACACACACACUGCCCCAUGCAUACCUAGACAGUCACACACAAUACAAUACACACACAUUCACACUGUCAUAUGGACUCUGUAACAAACACACUCUCUCUCUCUCUCUCUUUCUCUGUGUGUCACAUUCACACAGUCCUUGCUGCCAUGAGCAGUGGAAGAAAGAGAGGAGGCCAGGUUUCCUAGUGUCUAGUGUUGAGGAGGUAGGUAUUCCUUUCUGCUUCCCCUCUGUGCAGUUCUAGACUUGAUGACGCCCUCUUAAACAAUUAUCUAAAUAAACUUAUUUGUAUAAAUUAUUUUUUAAUGCAAAGCUUCUAUAGUUAGGGCAGGGAUGGGGCUUUAAUGCAAAGUGUCAAAUAGUUUUCCUUAUUUUUAGUUUGCUGUAUAUGUACAUUGAUGUAUGUACCCCAUAUACACUUUAAUACACAUACAUAUAAACCACAGAUCAUAUCUCAUACAUACAUAGACAUGUGCACACUCACAUACAUCCAUACAUAGACACACACUGUCACAUACAGAGGCACGUAACAACAUACACAUUCACAUACAUAUAUACCGGGUUAUUAACAAACAUGAGGAUUGUCAAGAAUAGUGGAUUUCAAAGUGGAUGACAGAAUAGUCAAACUGGAAGCAUUGUAUUCCUGACAAUUGUUUUAGUGAAUAACCUUGUCAGACAUGAAUUAACACACACCAUCACAUUCAUCAUAGACACACAUCAGCAUGGACACAGACACACCAAAACACAGACAUACACACAUUAAUACAAUUACAAACAUUCAUAAAAAAACACUGAGGCACAUACAUUAAAAGACACACAAAGUCCCAUACAUAGACACACAACACACUCAGUCACUUAGACAUGAAAUCACAAACAGUCACAUAAAUACAUAGGUAAAAAAUAGCAAGUACAGAAGUCAGAAACUGACCGCUUAUGUAUAGCACAUUGGUUGGUAGAUUAUUUUAAUUGGUGUUCAUGUGUGGUUAUGUGACUGGGUAGGUAGGUAGUUACUCAGCAGAGUACCACUGGUGUAACACCACCUACACUCAGCAGCUCCUUUGCCAGCUACCUACUGGGGGAGUUUCUAGGGUUGGGAGGUUUUCAAGGCUGCAUUCUAAAGCAGCCACUCUCUUUCCUGAGUCCUACCAUGUUCCAAGCUGUGACACUCUUCCCUGCAGCACCCCCCUCAUUCUAGUGCUUGGUCACAAAUGCCCCCUCAAACUACCCUGGUGGUCCAGUGGUAUCCUAUAUGCGUUCCCUGGCAGUCCAGUGGUGAAUAGCAGGAAGCACAUGUCCUGUUGUUUCAGAUCAUAAUACCCACUCCUUCAUGGCUCUGGCUUUCAAUGUUGUCAGAGCGCAGGCUGAGAAUCUCUGAGCCUGUUUUCUGACUCACAAACUGAGCACCAGAACCAUGAGGGAGAGGGUAUGAUCUGACCACACCUACUACUUGUGUGCACCAGUGGAUCACCAGGGAAUCAUUUAAAUUUAAUAUGUUAGUGUCCCCAGUUUGCGAGCUGUGUUGGCCGCCAGGUGCCUCUGUUGUCAUGGCGCCCUGCGUAACCACACAGCUUGCACACCCCAAAGGCUGGUCCUGCUGACAGACACACUGGCACUCACUCAAUGACACACACAUAAACCCUGACACACACAAACCCUGACAGACAGACACACACUCACUUGACAGACAACCACUUACUUGACAGACACACUCGCUGACAAACACACAAACACUGACAUACACUCGCACACACUGAUGGACACACACACACACACACUGACAUACACACUUACUGACAGACACAUUUACUGACAAACACACUCACACACUCACUAACACACAAACACUAACAGACACAUCACACACACUGACAAUCACAUUGACAGACACACUUGCUGAUAUACACACACACAUUCUCUGACAGAUACAUUUACUGACAAACACACUCACUGACAGACACACACAAACACUAACAGACACAUACACAGACACACGCACUGACAGAAACACUAACAGACAUAUACACAGACACACACACUGACAGACACACUCACUGACAAAAACACACACACUCACUGACACACACACUUUCUGACAGACAUACACACACACUCACUGGGAGACAUAGACUCACACUCACUGACAGACACAGACUCACUGACAAAAACACACUCACUGACGCACAUACUUUCUGACAGGCAUGCACACACACUCACUGGCAGACAUACACACACUCACUGACAGACAUACACACACACUCACUGACAGAUAUACACACAUACUCACUGAUAGACACUCACUGACAGACACAGACUUACUGACAGACACACACACACACUGACAGACAUAGACUUACUGACAGACACACACUUACUCACAGAUACAUGCACACACACUUACUGAUAGACACAUACACACUUACAGUCUUGCAUACACACUCACAAAUGAAUUGCUUGUUUGUUGCUCCUACCUUUAGGAGUCUUCUCGGUCCUCUCCGCGGGAUCCAGUGACAUUCAUGAUCUUCCUGCUCCUCUCUCCUCCCUCGCACUGUUUAGUGAAUUACAUCAUAUUCCGGCUCCCGGCAUCAACACAGAGGGCUCGCGAGGGAGCAGGAAGAUCAUCAGCUCAGACAGUCCUCCCUCUUCGCCGCCGCCUCCCUGCUUCCACACUCUGUUCCGGUAUAUUGAUGCAGAGUAGGCACCUGCUGUCUGGGUUAAGCAGGGUUCGCCAACUCUACCUUGCAUCAUAAUCGCUGUUCCUGGGGUGCCCUUAGGUGGCCAGCUGGCCACCUGCUGGGCUCCCUGUGACAGGCCAUCAGUCGCUCUGCGCAGCGCCCCCCCACCUCCAUGCGCUUGGGCGCAGUGCACCCCGUGCACCCGCCCAGGAUUGGCCAUGCUUGAGUACUACGGACACGUCCCCACAGCAAUAAGCCUUUUUCUCCAGCAAAUCUUGGCAUGCUAUCAGAAGGGAGACUAGGUUUACAUCUUUCCCUUCUAGUGUGUCUUUCUUAAUGGACUGGGGUACUAAGUGGGCAGGUGUGAUUAUGUGUGAGGUCGUUGGCAUUGGGUUAGAAUUAAUGCUGUUACCCGGGUUUGGGGUUGUCUGUAGAAGUGUGGCGGGAAUGACUGCCGGGGUGAUAAUGAGAAAUUGGGUCUCUAGUUUCUCCAGUCUCUCAUUAAUGAGGUUAACGGAUGAGAGUAGUGCUGACAUGGUAGCAUGGAUUCCUGACGUGUUUCUGUUGUUUCCCGGUCCCGGGGUGUCAGGGUUAGCAUUAAACAGGUGGUAUAAUUCCGCUUUGCGAGCCAUGGCCGGGUAUGGGACGCCUCUUCUCCUAAGCUCGGCCACAAUCUUGGGUAUGGUCCAAAAACUUAGAGAUCCCUGGUUUGCCGUCUCUAUGUUCUUGGCUGGGGUGCGUGGUCUGGCUGAGCUGGAGUUUCUGGAUGCUAGAUAGGGAGAUAUCCUUGGCCAUGUCAGACGCGUGCAAUAUUCUGGAACGUAAAUAAGUUAGGAAUUGUGAUUCUUUAAAGGAGAAGAGUGUCAUCUGACGUGUAUUUAGUUCAUCCCUAGAGGUGGAGAUGACCAUUUGGGUGUCGGUUGGUAACGUAUGAUCGUCUUGGGAUUUGCACGUGACAUAGGAGGGCGGAAUGGUAUCCACCUGUGAGAACAGGAAAAGCAGAGUGGUUUUGACUAUGAUAUGAUGUGAGGAGGCCGUUGCCAGUAAGGUGUCCUGGAUGGAACCAUGCUAGGGGCAGAGGCGUGACAGUGACCUAGGUAUUACAUGGACCCACCGUGUUGGCAUUUAUGCCUGUUGGUCUGUCAGGCACAUGAUCUGACUGGAGGUGCGUACAAGAGGGAAAUAAUGGAGAAUUACUUACUUUGUAUUUAGCAAGGUUGCGAGUGUUCUAUGGCCUAAAGGUAGGUUACAACAGUCCUGGCCGGAAUGGUACGGUAACAAAAGUACCGGGGAUGGGGCUUUGAAGACCUAGAAUUAGGUAAAGUAAAUAUGUGCUGGUACAGGUACCUGUGAAAAUUACGGCAUGGGAAUGUAUUCCCUGUAUUUUAGAUGACAGGUUGUAGUGGAGCCAGUGUUCGUGCCUAUGGAGUAAGACCAGAGGCCUAGAUAGUGAUGAUGGUGAGUAUUGAAAAAUGAAAAUAAUUAAUAUUAUUUUUUUAAUUAUUAUUUGGCCGUGCAGAUCUUACAUACCUGGGUCUUCACUGUGAGGAGAUAUUCAGCACAAAAGUAGCAAGCCUACAUUCAGUAGUGUCUAGCUGAAAUAUAUAUGAAUGAGCGAGUUUGUAGGAUAUUGUAUGGUGAUGUAUGGCGAUGUACAGUGAUUACACGCCUCUCUCUACCCCCUCUUAUCUUUACCUGUUUUGCAUUCUUUCUCAAUUCGAACUCUCUCCUCCUACCUCUUCAAUCUAGCUUCCCCUCCAUUCUACUGAGACCCCUCUGAUUACCGUAACUAAUAACAGCUAAAUCCAGAGGCCACUACUCUAUACUAAUUCUACAAGUCCUCUUUGCUGCCUUUGACACUAUUCUUCUAACUCUUCAAACCUUUGGCUUCUGUACUGUACCUCUCGAGGGAAGGUAUUAAAAAGAAUCUUAAUGUUAUUAGGACAAUCUUUGGUUACAUUAGAUUUUAUGCAACUGACACUUUUGAAUCCUAAUUAUUAUAUAUGGGAAGUGAUGCCCCUUGUCCCAUUCUCCCAACAUUCAUUCAGUGUCUCCUUUUCUAAUGACACCUCCUCCCCUAGUUCUAUCUGAUUGGAGUCCUCCCAAGGUGGGUCUGCUCUUACUCCACUUAUGCUUUCCAUUUAUACUGCUUCUCUUGGCAAACUUAUUAAUUCAUUUGGAUUCCGCUACCACCUGUAUGCUGACAACAUCCAGAUAUAUCUCUCCCCUGCUGCCAUAGAAUGUAUCACCGGUUACAUGAGGAGAAAAAUAUAAGGAGAAAAACUGAGCUUCUUAUUUCUUCUCCUCAUAAUACUAAUUCUUUUGCUCUCCCUGCAAGUUAAUGGUACCUGCAUUUGCCUGUCCUUUUAAGCUCACUGUCUUAGUGUCAUCUUUGAUUCUGACCACACCUUUAUGUCUCACGUCAUGUCUGUUGCCAAGUCUUGUCGAUUCCACCUUAAAAACAUUGCCCGAACCCGUGACCGCUCCUUUUUAAUACAAGAUGUUGCUAGGGAGCUUUUUCAUGCUAUAGUAAUUUGUUGCAUUUAUUACUGUAAUUCUCUGCUAAUUUGACUCCCCAGAAACCGUACUGCCUGGCUGCAGUCCGUGAUGAAUGCUGAUGCCAGGUUGAUUUUUCUCUCCUGUCACAUCUCUCACACCUUGCCCCUCUGUCAAUUCUUACAUUGGCUUCUUGUACCUUAUAGGAUUCAGCAUACUAGCUCUUACCUACAAAGCUCUAAGCAACUCUAGCCCUUGUUACAUUACUUCACUAAUACAUAGGUAUGCCUGUCUCUCCUCUCAGCUGGUAACAUUACACCCAUACUUGGGAUUGCAGGAAUUGUACCCCCAUCAGACUCUCCACUAGUCUUAGUUUGGUUUGAAUUGUAUUCAGUCAGGAAUUGACUAAUAUAGUCUAGCUAAUCCCUGGUUUAUAUUUUCAAUUCUCUUGGAAUAUGUGUUUUAAUAGGAAGAUAUGUUUAAAUCCAUGUUUUAUUGAGGGCAGAGUAUUGCCAUUUAUCUUUAAAAGCUUGGCUUUUGGAGUUCACUGUGAGUCUUGGGCUGUGUUUUUCCUAGGCAGUAAGGGAGGGAUUACAUUUUCUUAAUGUUGUUAGGACAAUCUUUGGUUAAAUUGGAUUUUAUGCAACUGACUCUUCUGAAUCCUUAUUUUUUAGUAGGGACUAAUGCUAAUACUAAAGGUUAUCCUUAUUAUAAGUUUGGAUAUGUCAAGGAAAUUGGAAUAAUACACUAAUCCUACAAACACAGAGCAUCAGAUUUAACAGGAUGAAAAUUUUAAAGUAGUUCUCACUAAAUAUUUUGGAUUUAUUUUGCCACAACUUCUAGAGACAAAUGAAGAGCACGUGUAUCUAUAAAAAGUACUGGGCAUGCAGGUUUUUAGAUGGAAAUGCUAUCUCUUUCAUUGUCAAAAUAGUGUCUUUACAAAUCUGUAUCUUCCCUUAUUAUUCCAUGAAUAUUUCUCGUUGACUGUUAAUUUGUCUUUCAGUUUUAUUUUUAUCAUCAUCUUCUUUUGUUUUAUUGCCCAGUAUCUUCUGUUUAAUACACUUUGUCUUUCACCACCUCUAAUUGUAAACUUUUGGCAUAUGAGCAAUAUUUUUAACAUAGUUAUACCUAGAGUGUAGUCAGGUACCAUAUUCUGUUACAUUGAACCCGAUGAUUAAAUCAAUGAGCCGCAUUAUUAUAUUCAUUUUCAUAUUUUUUAGUUUUAUUAAUAUAUUUUGCCUAAUAUACUUUAUCUGUUAAUGCCUUACACUGUUAAUGCCUUUUGACAUAAUUUUGGCAUAUGAGCAAUAUAUUUAACAUAGUUAUAACUAGAGUGUAGUCAGGUACCAUAUUCUGUUACAUUGAACCCGAUGAUUAAAUCAAUGAGCUGCAUUAUCAUAUUCAUUUUCAUAUUUUUUUGUUUUAUUAAUAUAUUUUGCCUAAUAUACUUUAUCUUUUAAUGCCUUUAUCUGUUAAUGCCUUUUGACAUAAUUUUGCAAAAUAUUGAAUAUUGUUACAACAUUUAUAGAAUCAGUUACAACAUUCUGGCACACUGUACCCAAUAGGUUGAUGAAUUGCUUCAUAUAUCUACUUAAUAUGUCUUAGUUGGAGUGUACAUGUUUCAAUCCCCAUGCACUGGGCCUGACCAUUACCACCAAUUGAUCACUUGUUCCGUUAACCACUCCAUCUGUAGUGCUAUUGACUGCUGGAUAUGCCAAUUUUUUUUCUCCACUUUUUCUCCACUUACUGAACCUCAUAUCACAUUUGGUGAAGUCUCCUUUUUAAUAGUGAAUGUGCUCUGGUAUAUGUCCUUCUUGAAUUGCUCCUGAUCGGCAAAAUGAUUGUCGGGACUCUACUAUUGCUGAUCCAGUUGCUUUUCAUUUAUAGUGAUGCUACUGUGGCAUAGUCAUUUUCUGGGCGCUGACCAGCAUUCACUAUCUCUUUUUUGCUUUCAUGUCAUUAUCUUGCAUACUUUGACCUAGAGCAGGGAAACGUUGUUCAACACAGUAUUUUUAAUGUGAUUUGCGCUCAGGUGAACCUACAGCCAAGGACAGUUUGAUUUCUUCUUCUGGAUGCAAUUCCUUAUUUAUUCUCUCGGUCUGGGUUCAUUCUUCGCUACUACUCCUUUGUAUCUGUGCUCUUUCUAGACACUCUAUGAUAAACAGUAUAAUUUAAUCUCACUGACGUAUCACUUUGUUUCAGUACAGUAUUUGCUCUCAUAAGUUUCUGUGACACUGCUCUACAGUUUCUGGCAAUAGUCAUCAUGAGAUGGAUAGGAUAACAAGAACACAUUUAAAUUUUCUUGUGAUAAGUGUCACUAUUUAUUAUCUUUGUUUUAAAAUCAUUUUUCAGAUUAUUUUUAACAAAAGUUGUUUUAAUAUUAUUUUUUAUAAAGUGCCAACAAGUUCCGUAGCGCUGUACAAUGGGUAGACUAACCGACACGUAUUUGUAACCACACGCGUUAGACACACAUUCCUUUAUGCCUUAAUAAUAUCCCUUAAUGCCUUAAUGUUAGUCUGCCUCUCUUGUAUCUCUUACAGCUGAGCUACACCAUACACUCUUACUGUUCUUUUCCGAAUCCAACGUGCUGUUAGUGUGUGAAUGUGUGAUUGAGAGAAAUAGAUAGAUAUAAAUAGCUAGAAAUAGAUGGAUACAGAUAGCUAGAUAGAAAUAGAGUGUGUGUGUAUGUUUAACAAUAUUUAUUUAAAAUGUGUGUGUUUUUAUACAAACACUAUAUAUAGAAAUACACACUUUUGGCUUAGAAGGGCUGCCUUAGGAGGGGGGCAGGUAUAAACAGUGAGCUGUCAGUCAGCUCGCGAACGUGCAUACUGUACACAUGCACAGUAGAGCGCUCAGUUAAUUCGUAGAGCGGCAUUCAGUGUCACUCUCUGAAGAACCUGAUUGGUGCAGCGCGAAGCCAUGCAUGUGCACCAUAAAGCGAUGACCCUACUGAAAGAGAAGCGCCUGAGCCCUGCUAUUUUGUCAUUCUGAUGAAAAAAGGGGGCGUGGCCUGCCGAAGAGCUUGGCGCUGGAACUUAGGUAAGUUUAUAUGAUAAAAAGGGCUUGAAUUUAUUUAUUUUUAAUGGCAAACUAAUAUAAAAACAAGAAAAAAGUCUAGGGGACCUGCCUUUCUUGCUUUUAUAUGUUGACUAUAGUCAUCCUUCAAGUAUUAUAAUCCCCUAUCUACUUGUAAUAAUAAAGGAAAUUGUCAAAACAAGGUUUGGGCUCACUCAGCCCGAUGCAGUAAUUUAUUCUGACAUGAAACAUAUUCAAAUAGUAAGAGUUAGCACUAUUUGUUAGCUUCAUUAGAAUUUCUGUAAAACUCCAAGGAACAUAUAGCGAACUGCAAAAUUCCUAAGUGUAACUUUGCAAGAGUGCCUAGCAGCUAUAUUGGCUCAUUAGACACUGAAUUUAGCCUUUCCUGUUUAGCAAACAGAUGCAGCUGCUCAUUAAACAUGAAUCUACUCAUAAGAGAGUGUCAGAAUUAGAGUCUGGAUGAUUCUAUCCAUGUUGAUUUUGUACCAAAGUUGUGAAAGGGACACUCUAAACACCAGCACCAGUACAGCUUUAUGUGGUGGUUUUAGUGCAAAUAGACUGUCCCUACAGUGUAAAAACAAUAAAAAAAACAUUGUUUUUGUUUCUUACUAAUUAAGGACACCUCUUGUGACUGUUACACAGCCACUAGAGGUACUUCCUGUUGUGUCCGUGCAGUCUCCAUGACUGCUGUUCAACUCCUUCCUGAAGACACCAAGCACAUCCUAUAGAAGUUGAGUGAAUGCAUCCCUAUCAGACGAUGCUGAUUGGAGCAGUGUGGGAAAGCAUUGGAUUGGCUAAAAUCAUCAUCACUAAGCAUCUCAGCAAAAGCAAUGGCUGCAGAAAGACCAGAUUAAAAUUUAAAUAAGAAUAUAUAUAUAUAUAUAUAUAUAUAUAUGUAUAGUGCUUCUUUAAUACAUGAUGCGGGAAGGUUGCUACAUGUUACUGGAAAUAUGUUACUUAAUUGCUGACAUCCAUAUCUGUAUGCUGGAGAACUGUUAUUGCUAAAAUAGCUGGAUAUGAUAUUUUUGUGCAUGUAUUUGACUGUCUAAAAGUCUUCUAAAAAUUUUGUAAAUUGCUAUGUUUGUUUCCCAUUGCAGAAAACAACAGAGAAGACACAUGAAAUUCUGACU
Molecule: non-coding RNA, 39345 nt
Organism: Pelobates cultripes (western spadefoot toad)
Lineage: Eukaryota; Metazoa; Chordata; Amphibia; Anura; Pelobatidae
Source: the annotation of a GenBank genome assembly